RNAcentral lists this ribosomal RNA (35 nucleotides) under Solen grandis (grand razor shell). Its description in RNAcentral is "partial 5.8S rRNA". The record is from RNAcentral. Lineage: Eukaryota; Metazoa; Mollusca; Bivalvia; Adapedonta; Solenidae.
ACAACUCUUUGCGGUGGAUCACUCGGCUCGCGAGU